AAACCAACAGGGAUUACCUCAGUAACGGCGAGUGAAGCGGUAACAGCUCAAAUUUGAAAUCUGGCUCUUUCAGGGUCCGAGUUGUAAUUUGUAGAAGAUGCUUUGGGUGUGGCCCUGGUCUAAGUUCCUUGGAACAGGACGUCAUAGAGGGUGAGAAUCCCGUAUGUGACUAGGUGCUUUCGCCCGUGUAAAGCUCUUUCGACGAGUCGAGUUGUUUGGGAAUGCAGCUCAAAAUGGGUGGUAAAUUUCAUCUAAAGCUAAAUAUUGGCCAGAGACCGAUAGCGCACAAGUAGAGUGAUCGAAAGAUGAAAAGCACUUUGGAAAGAGAGUUAAACAGUACGUGAAAUUGUUGAAAGGGAAGCGCUUGCAACCAGACUUAGUUGCGGCCGAUCAUCUAGGGUUCUCCCUGGUGCACUCGGUCGUAUCUAGGCCAGCAUCGGUUUGGGUGGUGGGAUAAAGGCCUUGGGAAUGUAGCUUCUUUCGGGGAGUGUUAUAGCCCUCGGUGCAAUGCCGCCUACCNGGACCGAGGACCGCGCUUCGGCUAGGAUGCUGGCGUAAUGGUUGUAAGCGAC
RNAcentral lists this ribosomal RNA (572 nucleotides) under Lachnum sp. OTU8 TS-2013. Its description in RNAcentral is "eukaryotic LSU rRNA". It matches the Rfam family "Eukaryotic large subunit ribosomal RNA", at positions 62 to 648 of the family's 3401-position model. Lineage: Eukaryota; Fungi; Ascomycota; Leotiomycetes; Helotiales; Lachnaceae. The record is from RNAcentral.